Long non-coding RNA from Melanotaenia boesemani (Boeseman's rainbowfish), 581 nucleotides. RefSeq lists it as uncharacterized. The transcript has 3 exons. The record is from RefSeq and is a predicted model, not a curated record. NCBI's taxonomy places the organism in Eukaryota, Metazoa, Chordata, Actinopteri, Atheriniformes, Melanotaeniidae.
CGCGUGCGCGCGCGAUUUCUCCGCGCGCGCGGGCAGUAUCUCCUCUCGCCUGAGUUUGCUUGCUUGCAGGGAAUAUCGGAGCCCUCGCGCGGAGAAUGUCUGCUCGCUGGCUCGUGCUGCUCACUCGCGGUAAAGUUUAUUGGCAGUAAGUGGGCGGGGCCCGCGGGUUUUCUGUCAUUACACACGAUUGGCUACAGUCCCCGUCCUCUGUGAUUGGCUGUCUCACUUGGAAAAGAGGAAGACGAGGAAGCGGGAGUCGUCUCGGUGUCUCGGCCACAUGGCAGAUCAUCGGGAGGAACAGUUGCAAGUCGCUGCCAAGCGGAUUGUAGAAUUACUUAAAACUGCCCUGGCUAACGAAGCAGACCCAUCGUCACAAAAUCGAGCCCGAUGUUGACUGGGAAAUGGCGGCAGACUACAAUGGAGAAGAUGAGGAUGCAGGAAUAGUUGUCCCUGAAUUUGAGUGCCCUUUGACUCCAGAAGACCUGUCUGAAAUUCAAUCAUUACUUGAGGAAACUGAUCCAGAAACUCCAGUCAGGGAAAUUUACCUUCUUUGUCGUGAGUAUGUAGCUGCAAGAUGUAGC